This 409-nucleotide ribosomal RNA is filed under the name bacterium. RNAcentral describes it as "partial 16S ribosomal RNA". It matches the Rfam family "Bacterial small subunit ribosomal RNA", at positions 355 to 776 of the family's 1533-position model. The record is from RNAcentral.
UGGGGAAUAUUGCACAAUGGGCGAAAGCCUGAUGCAGCGACGCCGCGUGAGGGAUGACGGCCUUCGGGUUGUAAACCUCCUUCAGUAGGGACGAAGCGCAAGUGACGGUACCUGCAGAAGAAGCACCGGCUAACUACGUGCCAGCAGCCGCGGUAAUACGUAGGGUGCGAGCGUUGUCCGGAAUUACUGGGCGUAAAGAGCUCGUAGGCGGUUUGUCACGUCGUCUGUGAAAUCCUAGGGCUUAACCCUGGACGUGCAGGCGAUACGGGCUGACUUGAGUACUACAGGGGAGACUGGAAUUUCUGGUGUAGCGGUGGAAUGCACAGAAAUCAGGAAGAACACCGAUGGCGAAGGCAGGUCUCUGGGUAGUAACUGACGCUGAGGAGCGAAAGCAUGGGUAGCGAACAGG